Molecule: ribosomal RNA, 253 nt
Filed under: uncultured bacterium
Lineage: Bacteria
Description: partial 16S ribosomal RNA
Rfam family: Bacterial small subunit ribosomal RNA
Source: RNAcentral
UACGUAGGGCGCAAGCGUUAUCCGGAAUUAUUGGGCGUAAAGAGCUCGUAGGCGGUUUGUCGCGUCUGCUGUGAAAACUCGGGGCUUAACCCCGGGCCUGCAGUGGGUACGGGCAGACUAGAGUGCGGUAGGGGAGACUGGAAUUCCUGGUGUAGCGGUGAAAUGCGCAGAUAUCAGGAGGAACACCGGUGGCGAAGGCGGGUCUCUGGGCCGUAACUGACGCUGAGGAGCGAAAGCGUGGGGAGCGAACAGG